This 878-nucleotide long non-coding RNA is filed under the name Olea europaea (common olive). RNAcentral's name for it is "long non-coding RNA (OEUR_LNC000037)". The record is from RNAcentral. Lineage: Eukaryota; Viridiplantae; Streptophyta; Magnoliopsida; Lamiales; Oleaceae.
UGGGGGCAGUUGUUCCAUCUAGACCUCGAUGCUCCGUUCCUGCAUUAUCGUUUUUGCAUUUUUAAUAUGUGCAUUUUGUUUAAUUUGAAAAUGAAAGUUUUUAUUCUUUGUGAUUUUGGGUUUUUCUUUAUAUGUAGAUUUUAGACUGGAUUGAAGUGGGGUGAGAUACAUUCUAUAAAGGAAGGUAAUUUUUCCCCUGGUACUGGCUGCCCCUCAAGUGUAAUUGUGGAAUAUCCAGGACCAAAAUCCAAUGGGAGCAGUUGUUCGUAAUACACCUCAAUGCUCGGUUCCUGGAUUAAUUUGUUUUUUGCAUUUUUAGUAUGUGCAUUUUGUUUAAUUUGAAAGUGAAAGUUUUUAUUCUUUGUGAUUUUGGGUUUUUGUUUGCAUGUAAAUUUUAGACUGGAUUGAAGUGCGGUGAGAUACAUUUUAUAAAGGGAUUUUUUAAAUAAAGAUCUGGGUUUUGGAUUAUAUAUUGUUUUGACUACGGUUAUUGAUGGCAACUCCGAGUGGACCUCGUCCGGGGAAUAUCCCACCAAUUUAUACUCCUAAUUCUCUUGCUAAUAAUAUGCAAGACUUGCAAAUUAAUCAACCUAAUCUGCAACAGCCAAAAAAUCCUACUGGUGGUGCCUCUAGACCACCUAUCACUUUACCAUUUGGUCAGCAGCCUCCACCUUUUGCUGGAACCCGGCCAGGUCCACCUCUGCCCAGUGCCUUUACAGGGGGGCCUGGGCUCCCUAGCCCUAGUGGCCCCCCGAAUACAUUGUCACCAAAUGUGGCAUCUACUAGGCCCACUGGCCCACCACCUGGAUCUCAGCCUUCUCCUCGUUUCACUUUGAGACCGCUUCCUCCUGGGUUGCUGCCAUCUUCUAUGGGUGCUG